AUUGAACGCUGGCGGCAUGCCUCACACAUGCAAGUCGAACGGCAGCACGGGAGCGAUCCUGGUGGCGAGUGGCGAACGGGUGAGUAAUAUAUCGGAACGUGCCCAGUCGUGGGGAUAACGUAGCGAAAGUUACGCUAAUACCGCAUACGAUCUAAGGAUGAAAGCGGGGGAUCGCAAGACCUCGCGCGAUUGGAGCGGCCGAUAUCAGAUUAGGUAGUUGGUGAGGUAAAGGCUCACCAAGCCAACGAUCUGUAGCUGGUCUGAGAGGACGACCAGCCACACUGGAACUGAGACACGGUCCAGACUCCUACGGGAGGCAGCAGUGGGGAAUUUUGGACAAUGGACGCAAGUCUGAUCCAGCCAUUCCGCGUGCAGGAUGAAGGCCUUC
Molecule: ribosomal RNA, 388 nt
Filed under: uncultured bacterium
Lineage: Bacteria
Description: bacterial SSU rRNA
Rfam family: Bacterial small subunit ribosomal RNA
Source: RNAcentral